AACGCACCUUGCGCUCCUUGGUAUUCCGAGGAGCAUGCCUGUUUGAGUGUCAUUAAAUUCUCAACUUCAUCAGCUUUGUUAUGAAACUGUGUGGAGCUUGGAUGUGGGGGUUUGUGCAGAGCGCGUAAAAGCAACCUGCUCCCCUUAAAUAAAUUAGCGAGUUCAAACUGGGCUCCGUCUAUUGGUGUGAUAAUUAUCUACGCCGUGGAUUGGGUUUAGACUUGCUUCUAAUCGUCCGCAAGGACAAUCUUUUGACAAUUUGACCUCAAAUCAGGUAGGACUACCCGCUGAACUUAA
Molecule: unclassified non-coding RNA, 297 nt
Filed under: Psathyrella sp.
Lineage: Eukaryota; Fungi; Basidiomycota; Agaricomycetes; Agaricales; Psathyrellaceae
Also listed under: 2 other names
Description: partial contains 5.8S ribosomal RNA, internal transcribed spacer 2, and large subunit ribosomal RNA
Rfam family: 5.8S ribosomal RNA (bases 1-52)
Source: RNAcentral